AUUCUCUGUUUGAUCCAGGUUCUCCUUGAUACAAUUAUAUUUCACUUGAUGUGAACAACACAUUUUACCUAGAUAAAAGAUUUCCAAUUAACCAAAAUGCCUGAUGAAUAUUCUGGGUAACAUGUCAGAAGAUGCUGUCUUAAAAAAUCUGUAAAUUUCUGUUAUCAAUGGAAAUAUGUUUUUGCUAGUUUGUGUGUGUGGUGCAAUCAUCACUUAUUGAUCAUCUAAUCCUUCCAAAUCUAGUUAUACAUAGUGGAUAAGCACAGCUGUGUUUUACAUUGUCUGAAUCCAUGCUGCAGCGCUGUCUUAACCUGAAUGGUGGUUACAUCUCUCAAGCAGGGAAAAGGAAUUGGUACCCCAUCUCUGAAGGGAAGAGGAGUGGGAUGAGAAUUCUCCACUUGACCAUCACUCUUCUCUUCUCUACUUUCCCAAUGUAAAGCAUCAUUCUCUAUGGGUGAGGAACAGUGGCCUUUAUUUUCCUUUCAUGUCUUUGGGGGACCAGCUGUCCAGCCCCCAGCUGUCACCUGAUCUCUUCAGUGGGCCAUCUUUUCCAAGCCACAGAAAAAGCGUCUUUCCACAACAGCAAAACUUCAAAUUUGGGAUAAACUCUCUUGCCACUGCAGACUUGUGUGGGCUCCAAAGUAAAAUCAACCUACCAUCAUCUCCCCAUGGUGUAUGGAGCUACCCUACAGCCAACAGCAAACUCUACACAAGGGAGUGGAAUUGACACAUGGAAUUUCCCUAAGGAGAACCUUUGUAAAAUACUACACUGUGUGUAUGUGUGUGUGUCUUCUUUACACCAUUCAUUUUUUAAAUAAAGAGGACAAAUUAUAUAACCCUGGGAGAAAAGAUUGAACAGAGGUAUGUGGAAGCAGACAGUGCCAAAUACACUGAAGCCCUAUCCCAGGCAGAGAUAGCUACUUCUGGUAAAUACCAGUGGGUUCUCUCUCUUCCUUUACUGGUGUGAAACACUUUGGCAAUGCUUAACUUAUGAUUGUAUUAAAAUUUAACUUUUACACUGGUUUUUAUAUGGCUGUUAUGUAGUUCUGUACCAUGGUUAUAACCCUGCUUGGUGUCUCCGCAGGCAAGAACAAAUCUUGUGAUGACAUUGUUGUGGCAUUAUUGUGUUGUAAUGUGAGGCCCUGAUAUGGUCACUUUGGCUGCUUAGUCUCUAGAUGUUAAGAUGAUGGACCCUGUAGAAAAACUUCAGAUAACCUGAUGACUGAUGGUUUGGAAUAGUGUUAGGUGUGGACACAAUAUUCAAAGUACUGUGCUGGAACUGUUCAGAAUGAGUUCCAAACCAGUCCCAAUGUAUACAGUGGAUUUACCCUGUUUAUAGGGAACAAAUUUGUGUAGGGCGGGAAUAGAUGAUCAUGGUAUGUUCCAUUUAUCACUCUUGCUGGGGUUUGAGGAAACUGAAGCACAUCAUUACUCUUCACUGUGGCUUUUUGCCUUUCAUCACGACACACUCACCAUCUUGACUUGACCUGCAUGUUUAUUUAACUGUUGAAUUAAAGCAUCCAUGAUCAACAGAAAGUAGCCAUGCUACAUGUGCUAAAUUGGACCAUCUUUCUUGCCGCUUAUUUUCUUGGCUGGAAGUCUACAUCAUUUUGUAUAUAUCACACUCCUCAGGAUUUAUGUUGGCUUUGACAAAGAUUGCUUUUGGCAACUAACUGGAUAAGAAAAUGCUGUUGAUACAGAAAACCUGAAAUCUGUUAAAUGUCUCUGUGCUAUCUUAGUAACUGAUACACUGGUUGCUAUCAGCAUAAAUGCACUCCUUCGCAAUACAUUUCCAAAGCAAAGUCGGAUGUGUGCUUUUUCUUUUUUUUUUUCUUUUUUUUUUUUUGGGAGGGAGGCAGGGGGAUUGUUCAGUGCUACUUUGUAGGCAAGACUUACUGCUCUUGUCAGUGGUCCAAUGUUAAGUCCUUACUUUAAGUACCCGGAGAGGUUGUGUGCCCAUGUGUGUAUGCCAAAACACACCCUCUAAAACCAGUCAUUCAGUGUUGGGAAUAAGGGGUGGGAGAUGUAGGGGGAAAUAUUUUUAAAGGGUCUGAAAUGGUAUAUAACCUUGUUUUACACUAGCAUCCCAAAAAGGGAAGGAAGGCAGAGUAUAUAAGAACACAAUGGUACAAUAUCAGUUAUACUAAUUGAUAGUGCUGUAAAAUUUUAAAGUUCAAUACUUGCAUUUUUACUACCUGUCUUUCUCUUAGACAGGUUUAUAUACCGUAAACACUUUUUUCAAUCUUAAUAGACUUCUAAUAUACAAAUCAAUAAAUCUUAUUGUAAAAGAGCAGUGUCUAAUUUAUCAUGCAUCGUUGUGCAUUUGAGGCAUUAAUGGACCACUAAAACGCAAACCUUCAUGUCUUAAUGUUACAUUGAUCUACCAAAUUAAAAUGAA
Molecule: long non-coding RNA, 2398 nt
Organism: Mauremys reevesii (Reeves's turtle)
Lineage: Eukaryota; Metazoa; Chordata; Testudines; Geoemydidae
Exons: 3
Source: RefSeq, a predicted model, not a curated record